This 462-nucleotide ribosomal RNA is filed under the name Ralstonia sp. 2P-2. RNAcentral describes it as "bacterial SSU rRNA". It matches the Rfam family "Bacterial small subunit ribosomal RNA", at positions 66 to 523 of the family's 1533-position model. The record is from RNAcentral. Lineage: Bacteria; Pseudomonadati; Pseudomonadota; Betaproteobacteria; Burkholderiales; Burkholderiaceae.
ACGGCAGCAGCGGGCUUCGGCCUGGCGGCGAGUGGCGAACGGGUGAGUAAUACAUCGGAACGUGCCCUGUUGUGGGGGAUAACUAGUCGAAAGAUUAGCUAAUACCGCAUACGACCUGAGGGUGAAAGCGGGGGACCGUAAGGCCUCGCGCAAUAGGAGCGGCCGAUGUCUGAUUAGCUAGUUGGUGGGGUAAAGGCCUACCAAGGCGACGAUCAGUAGCUGGUCUGAGAGGACGAUCAGCCACACUGGGACUGAGACACGGCCCAGACUCCUACGGGAGGCAGCAGUGGGGAAUUUUGGACAAUGGGGGCAACCCUGAUCCAGCAAUGCCGCGUGUGUGAAGAAGGCCUUCGGGUUGUAAGCACUUUUGUCCGGAAGAAAUCGCGCUGGCUAAUACCUGGCGUGGAUGACGGUACCGGAAGAAUAAGCACCGGCUAACUACGUGCCAGCCAGCCGCGGUAA